UGCAGGUGACGAGAUGAGUGUCGA
Molecule: non-coding RNA, 24 nt
Filed under: Arabidopsis thaliana (thale cress)
Lineage: Eukaryota; Viridiplantae; Streptophyta; Magnoliopsida; Brassicales; Brassicaceae
Source: RNAcentral